GCCGGGUGUGGUGGCUCACGCCUGUAAUUCCAACACCUUGGGAGGCUGAGGUGGGUGGAUCACCUGAGGUCAGGAGUUCAAGACCAGCCUGGCCAACAUGGUGAAACCCCAUCUCUA
Unclassified non-coding RNA from Papio anubis (olive baboon), 117 nucleotides. It matches the Rfam family "Metazoan signal recognition particle RNA". From Rfam's summary of the family: The signal recognition particle (SRP) is a universally conserved ribonucleoprotein. It is involved in the co-translational targeting of proteins to membranes. NCBI's taxonomy places the organism in Eukaryota, Metazoa, Chordata, Mammalia, Primates, Cercopithecidae. The record is from Ensembl.